This 253-nucleotide ribosomal RNA is filed under the name uncultured bacterium. RNAcentral describes it as "partial 16S ribosomal RNA". It matches the Rfam family "Bacterial small subunit ribosomal RNA", at positions 524 to 776 of the family's 1533-position model. The record is from RNAcentral.
UACGUAGGUGGCAAGCGUUGUUCGGAAUUAUUGGGCGUAAAGGGCGCGUAGGCGGUUUGUUAAGUCGGUCGUGAAAGCCCGGGGCUCAACCCCGGACGUGCAUUGGAUACGACGGCGCUGGAGUCCUGAAGAGGAGGGCGGAAUUCCCGGUGUAGAGGUGAAAUUCGUAGAUAUCGGGAGGAACACCAGUGGCGAAGGCGGCUCUCUGGACAGGUACUGACGCUGAGACGCGAAAGCGUGGGUAGCAAACAGG